CUUCGGGGUACUCGAGUGGCGAACGGGUGAGUAACACGUGGGUGAUCUGCCCUGCACUUURGGAUAAGCCUGGGAAACURGGUCUAAUACCGAAUAGGACCGCAUGCUUCAUGGUGUGUGGUGGAAAGCUUUUGCGGUGUGGGAUGGGCCCGCAGCUAUCAGCUUGUUGGUGAGGUAAUGGCUUACCAAGGCGACGACGGGUAGCCGGCCUGAGAGGGUGACCGGCCACACUGGGACUGAGAUACGGCCCAGACUCCUACGGGAGGCAGCAGUGGGGAAUAUWRCACAAUGGGCGCAAGCUGNAUGCAGCGACGCCGCGUGARGGAUGACGGCCUUCGGGUUGUAAACCUCUWUMGCCAGGGACGAAGCGCAAGUKACGGUACCURGAGAAGAAGGACCGGCCAACUACGUGCCAGCAGCCGCGGUAAUACGUAGGGUCCGAGCGUUGUCCGGAAUUACUGGGCGUAAAGAGCUCGUAGGUGGUUUGUMGCGUUGUUCGUGAAAACUCACAGCUUAACUGUGGGCGUGCGGGCGAUACGGGCAGACUUGAGUACUGCAGGGGAGACUGGAAUUCCUGGUGUAGCGGUGGAAUGCGCAGAUAUCAGGAGGAACACCGGUGGCGAGGCGGGUCUCUGGGCAGUAACURACGCUGAGGAGCGAAAGNGGNGGGAGCGAACAGGAUUAGAUACCCUGGUAGUCCACGCCGUAAACGGUGGGUACUAGGUGUGGGUUUCUUCCUUGGGAUCCGUGCCGUAGCUAACGHAUUAAGUACCCCGCCUGGGGAGUACGGCCGCAGGUAAAAACUCAAAGWWAUUGWCGGGGGGCCGCACAAGMGGC
This 837-nucleotide ribosomal RNA is filed under the name Mycobacterium sp. Spyr3. RNAcentral describes it as "16S ribosomal RNA". It matches the Rfam family "Bacterial small subunit ribosomal RNA", at positions 80 to 933 of the family's 1533-position model. Lineage: Bacteria; Bacillati; Actinomycetota; Actinomycetes; Mycobacteriales; Mycobacteriaceae. The record is from RNAcentral.